CGCCGCGUGAGGGAUGACGGCCUAUCGGGUUGUAAACCUCUUUUAGCAGGGAAGAAGCGAAAGUGACGGUACCUGCAGAAAAAGCGCCGGCUAACUACGUGCCAGCAGCCGCGGUAAUACGUAGGGCGCAAGCGUUAUCCGGAAUUAUUGGGCGUAAAGAGCUCGUAGGCGGUUUGUCGCGUCUGCUGUGAAAUCCCGAGGCUCAACCUCGGGCCUGCAGUGGGUACGGGCAGACUAGAGUGCGGUAGGGGAGAUUGGAAUUCCUGGUGUAGCGGUGGAAUGCGCAGAUAUCAGGAGGAACACCGAUGGCGAAGGCAGACCUCUGGGCCGUAACUGACGCUGAGGAGCGAAAGGGUGGGGAGCAAACAGGCCUAGAUACCCUGGUAGUCCACCCCGUAAACGUUGGGAACUAGUUGUGGGGACCAUUCCACGGUUUCCGUGACGCAGCUAACGCAUUAAGUUCCCCGCCUGGGGAGUACGGCCGCAAGGCUAAAACUCAAAGGAAUUGACGGGGACCCGCACAAGCGGCGGAGCAUGCGGAUUAAUUCGAUGCAACGCGAAGAACCUUACCAAGGCUUGACAUAUACGAGAACGGGCCAGAAAUGGUCAACUCUUUGGA
RNAcentral lists this ribosomal RNA (619 nucleotides) under Microbacterium sp. Ri3Ps_5344. RNAcentral describes it as "bacterial SSU rRNA". It matches the Rfam family "Bacterial small subunit ribosomal RNA", at positions 395 to 1022 of the family's 1533-position model. Lineage: Bacteria; Bacillati; Actinomycetota; Actinomycetes; Micrococcales; Microbacteriaceae. The record is from RNAcentral.